RNAcentral lists this transfer RNA (66 nucleotides) under Hyalopterus amygdali. RNAcentral's name for it is "transfer RNA histidine". Lineage: Eukaryota; Metazoa; Arthropoda; Insecta; Hemiptera; Aphididae. The record is from RNAcentral.
AUUUAAAUAGUUUAAUUUAAAAUAUUAAUUUGUGGAAUUAAAGAUUAUUUUUUUUAUAUUUAAAUA